Molecule: ribosomal RNA, 347 nt
Filed under: uncultured Rikenellaceae bacterium
Lineage: Bacteria; Pseudomonadati; Bacteroidota; Bacteroidia; Bacteroidales; Rikenellaceae
Description: bacterial SSU rRNA
Rfam family: Bacterial small subunit ribosomal RNA
Source: RNAcentral
UGCUGCAUGGUUGUCGUCAGCUCGUGCCGUCGAGGGUGUCGGGUUAAGUCCCAUAACGAGCGCAACCCCUACCUGCUAGUUGCCAGCGGGUCAUGCCGGGGACUCUAGCGGAACUGCCAGCGUAAGCUGCGAGGAAGGUGGGGAUGACGUCAAAUCAGCACGGCCCUUACGUCCAGGGCUACACACGUGUUACAAUGGCCAGUACAGAGGGCAGCCACCCCGCGAGGGGGCGCUAAUCCUAAAAGCUGGUCCCAGUUCGGAUCGGAGUCUGCAACCCGACUCCGUGAAGCUGGAUUCGCUAGUAAUCGCGCAUCAGCCACGGCGCGGUGAAUACGUUCCCGGGCCUU